UAGGGAAUCUUCCACAAUGGGCGAAAGCCUGAUGGAGCAACGCCGCGUGUGUGAUGAAGGGUUUCGGCUCGUAAAACACUGUUGUAAGAGAAGAAUGACAUUGAGAGUAACUGUUCAAUGUGUGACGGUAUCUUACCAGAAAGGAACGGCUAAAUACGUGCCUAG
RNAcentral lists this ribosomal RNA (165 nucleotides) under uncultured bacterium. RNAcentral's name for it is "partial 16S rRNA". It matches the Rfam family "Bacterial small subunit ribosomal RNA", at positions 355 to 512 of the family's 1533-position model. The record is from RNAcentral.